This 442-nucleotide ribosomal RNA is filed under the name uncultured bacterium. Its description in RNAcentral is "partial 16S ribosomal RNA". It matches the Rfam family "Bacterial small subunit ribosomal RNA", at positions 338 to 795 of the family's 1533-position model. The record is from RNAcentral.
CCUACGGGAGGCUGCAGUGGGGAAUAUUGGGCAAUGGGCGCAAGCCUGACCCAGCAAUGCCGCGUGAAGGAAGAAGGCUUUCGGGUUUUAAACUUCUUUGACAGGGGAAGAGCAGAAGACGGUACCCUGACAACAAGCCACGGCUAACUACGUGCCAGCAGCCGCGGUAAUACGUAGGUGGCAAGCGUUGUCCGGAUUUACUGGGUGUAAAGGGCGUGUAGCCGGGAAUGCAAGUCAGUUGUAAAAUCUGGAGGCUCAACCUCCAAAUUGCAUUUGAAACUGUUGUUCUUGAGUACAGGAGGGGCAGACGGAAUUCCUUGUGUAGCGGUGAAAUGCGUAGAUAUAAGGAGGAACACCAGUGGCGAAGGCGGUCGGCUGGACAGCAACUGACGGUGAGGCGCGAAAGCGUGGGGAGCAAACAGGAUUAGAUACCCGGGUAGUC